GAAUCGCAAUCAGCCAACUAAAAUUCAUGGGAGGAACAGAAGCAGAGAGCUGUGAAAUCAGCUGGGACAACCAUGUUCAUAUAUGAUGGAAAAACCACGUUAGUGCAACCUCACUGUAGCCCAUCCCAACCAAGCCUUCACUACACACUGUUCUCCUGGGACCAGAGAACUCUUCCCUUUUCUUUUCUUUUGUGACUUCGUUUCAGACGACGAUCCACCAAGGAGGGAGGCUCCAUCACAGCCGAGUCUCUGCCUUUUCUCCAUGACUUCAUUACUGAACAUCUGAGCUUUCCCAAAUUCAAGACUUCUUUACCACCACCUCUGCUCACCUCCUCAGGUUGUCACUAUCACAACUCCCAAGCAAAAGAGAUUUACCUUCUCCAGUGUGCAGACAUCAAAGUACUAUUUGAGGGGUACAGUUAAGAUCUGAUUUCAGCCCAAGAGGUUCCUAGUCACCAUCACGAUAAAACAUGACAAAGCAUUUUGUGGGCCCCAUCACAGGGAACCAAGCGAGCAUUUACUCCUGCAUCUAAAUCACAAGGUGUGCCUCUGUACUGCCCACAAGUUACAGAGGAAAUAAAGCACCUCACGCUUUCUCAGAAGCUAAAGCAGCACAGUUUUUUCUUUUGCUGUUCACAAAGUUCUGUAUAAGCCAUUUUACAUCUGAUAAGGUAAUUCACAGGCCCAGUGACAUCUGAGAGCCAGGCUAAGGACAAAAGCAGGGGAUAACAAGAAGAGCAGCCUGCAGGUGUCUGGCUGUUCAACCAUUCUGCCUUACUUACUGAACAAAUAUUUAAUGAGCAAUUACUAGGUCCCAGGCCCCAGCCGCACAGGGAUGAUGACACGUCGGUCUCCUCGGAGAUCUUAUGUAAUAUCGGACAGUAACCGCUCUAGAGAGAGGGAAAGCAGGGGAGAGGGAUGGAAUUGGGCUGAAAAGGUGGCUAAGCAAAAAUGGAACAUCUGAAGAGACCGGACUGAUACCGAAUCCACGCUGCCUAUGGAGGGGAGAGGGAGAGGACAGAGCUGAGGAGACACUGACGGAGCGGGCUGGAGGCCACUGGGACUUCAAGACAACUCAUUUUUCUAAAUUCGGCCUUUCAAACCAAAGUUUCUAAGGAGCCCUUUGUUGUGCUAAGGAUUGAAAUCGGGGCCUCACAAUACGAAUGGAGCACAACCCCAGCCCCAACAACCCCCUUAUCUGACAUAUUAUAAUGGGAAAGAUUCUAAUAUACGCCUCCAUACUGCAGGUAACGAAACACGCUGGGCCUUGCACUGUGGUCUCCGUCCCCCACUCAUAACCAUCAUAAAUGUGCCUAGGAGAGAAAUGAAGCAAUUCUCAGAUGGCAAAUUAAAUGAUGGUGGCUCUCCAGGGAGGAAGAAGGCUCUCCAGGGGCUCUCUGCAGCUCCACAGGAGCCUGGCCUUUCAUCUGCAGACCUCGCCAGACUGAGAAACACCAAAGCCCAGGGCCGACCAGGAGCAGAGGGUCUGAGAAACCCAAAUGUCACUCAAGAACGUUGGAACCCCAAAGCCUUUUAUUAUGAAUCAUGAAUUAAUCAGACAGAGGGACGACUGGUAAGAUGGCUGAACUACUUGUUGCCAAGCCUGACAACUUGAGUUUGAUGUCCACAACCCAUAGGGUGGAAGAAAGAAUGGAUCCCUGAGGACUAUCUUCUGAGUUCCACACACCUGCUCUAUCCCAGAUAAGUAAAUUAAACAUGUGUUAACAAAAGGUGGUGGCACUGUGUGCUUGACAGUGUGCAUGUGUGCGUGCGUGCAUGCGUGCAUGUGUGUGUGUAUUACUUGGAUGGCUUAGCAGUUAAAGGCACUUGCUGCUCUUCCAGAGGACCCAAAUUAAGUUCCCAGCAACUAUACUGUGUGACUAACAACCACCCUCCUGUAACUCCAGUUCCAGGGUAUCCACUGCCCUCUUCCGGCAUCCACAGGCAAUGCACUCCUGUGCAUGAACACACAUGAACACACAUGAACACAUGCACACACAUUUUUUAAAUUAAAAAGUAUGUUAAUAUGGUCUUAAAGAAAUUUAAAAAUCACUGACAUUCAGCUAAUAUUGUUUAAAAGACAAGACAGGAACAAAAAUCUAAUUAAAUAAUCAAAACAAUAAAGUAGCCUAAAGCUAGCAUGCUAAUAAUUAUAUUGAUUUUAUAUAUUUAGAAGAUAUUCAUAAGAUAAAGACUGCUGGGUGUGCAGAGCCGCCGGCCUGCAAUGCUAAUACUUGGGAGGCUGAAGCUCUGUUAGCUCAAGGCCAACCUGGAGUAUGUAAUUAGACUUGUCUCAACAAACCAAAACUAAAUUAAACUGAAAGGCAAAGGCCCCCAGCAUUGACUAGGUCUACAGACUGAGUUCCAGGCCAGCCAAGGCUAUACAGUGAGACCCUGUCUCUAAAAGAAAAAAAGGAUCAACGACAGAAGACACAGUCAGGAAGGAAAAUCAUACAUAUAUAGCAAAAACUAUUUUGAAUAAAAAAAAGUAAAAAAAAAAAAAAAAAAAACAAAACCCAAAACAAAAAACAAUGUAGCAAGGAAGUUCUCCAAAUCUGGCAGAGCAUGGAGUGGAAGCGCAUGCCUGUGAUGCUAGAACUCAGAAGGCAGAGGCAGGAGGAUCAGGAGUUCACUGGCCAGCCUUGGCUACCCACUGAGACCCUCUCUCAAAAGCCAGAAGCAGCAAGGAAAUGGUACAAACGCUGAAAGCGUGGCUGAGCCGUGGAGUGGGCUCGACCCCUGGAUUCAAUCCUAGCACUAACCAAGAAAAGACAACUGGGACUCGGGCUGCAGCGACUGCCUGUCUGUAGUGGGAAGCACAGCCGGCCCUGACCCUUUCAGUGCCAGCAGCCUAGAGGAGCAGUAGUGCCUAAAUGCUCUGCCUAGUACUGUGGGAAGUCUGCAGACCCAAGGCCCACCUAACAGGUCUACAGGGUCUCCUACAGGACUCCCAUGGGUCUCCUAACUUUGCUUACCACAAUUUUGCCAGAAAUCCAAACCUCCCAGGUUCACCCCUCACGAUCUAAACCUCAUUCCCUUGAGGCUGGAGUGAGCUCUGCAUGGAGGUGUGCGUAGGCCCCAGCUCAAACUCUAGCAGUGCAGAAACAAAACCACCCAGGCUGUUCCAAGUCUCAUCACUCCCUCAACCUCUCUCCUAAGUCCCCGCCCAAGGUCUCCGUAGCUCUAAUUACCCGCCUCAGUCACUUCUCCUUUCUGGUAUUUUCCAUUGCUUCCAGGUGACGCUGGCUCCUCCCCCACUUCUCCCAAGCUCUCUCAAGCAGAAAGCUGACUACUCUUGGGCAAUGAGGUCAGAGACCUCUUUGCUCCCCCUGUGUGACCUUCAGACAGUUCCACUCCACCUUGUGCAGAAGGGCUCCUCUAGAGAGCAUGCAGCUGGUUUUCCACCAGUCAACCCUUUGGCUUUCACAGCCCAGCCUCCUGAUGUAGAGGCUGUGCUAUGUGGCCCUUCUCAGUCACAUUUCACCUAAACAGCAAUCCCACCUCAGUUCUGUGGGUCCUGCUCUAAUACAUCCAGUAAGCCCUGGACCACAGAUAACCAACCUUACACACACACACACACACACACACACACACACACACACACACACACACCUCCCUAUGGGAACACCGAAGUUCCCAUAUACUGAAGCUGGGAACAGAAAGAAAAUCAGCAAGACAGGACACACCACAGUGAAAGAUACCAGAUCUCUCCUAAGGGAAUCAAGACCAAGACUAAUGUUUUGGGGCUGCAGCUGAUCUUGAGUGACUGGAACUAUGGCAAGCAGAGGCCCAGGGAAGAGAGAAAAGACUAUGCCACAUAUCAACAUGGGUACUGCUCCAGUUUCUCUUUUUCUUCUUCUCUCUCUCUAUCCCCUCCUUGAGGUCAGGGUUUCUCAACUCAGACACUACUGAGUAAGUUCUGGACCACAAGCUUAUUUACAGGAACAAGAGAGAAGUGUCCUGGACAGAACAUAAUGUUUACUUAUAAAGAUGCCAAUGGGAGUGCCAAUGCAGCACCUCCCCAAGAACACAUCUACAAGGUGCCGGGCUUCUGUGACUCCCACUCAUGCAAACUGGAAAUCAGGAAGACAGUCGGGAGUGAGGUGCACAGGAUACUUGGUGAGACGGAGGAAUUAACUACAGUGCAUGGUAAUGUACUGUGUUUAUGUCUGAUGUGGUUACAGAAUGAACUACAUUUGCCUCAAAAUAAUCUGAGGUAGAAGAGAACCUGAGAGGGUGAAACAGGCUUGCCUGUAAGUUGGUGAUUUUUGAAGGUUGCAAAGAGAGAAUACAGUGAGUUUAGAAUGUCAAGAUCAGGCUGAGCAUGAAUUUUUAAUCCCAGUGCUUACAAGACAGAGGCAGGUGAGUCUCUGAGUUGAGGCUAGCGCGGUCUACAUGGUAAAUGCCAAGGCAGACAGGGAUACAGGGAGCCGCUGUCUGUCUGUUGUUGACACAUGAACUUGUUCUUUCCCCUGCGGCUAGCUACUGUAGGAAUACCAUUCCAUUUGGUCUAUGUCAGACUUUCACGAUAGAGGCUAAGCCAUCAGCUGGAAACCCUUUUAGUCUCUAGCCGAAACUACCCAAAAGGUGAAGAGAAAACUUCAGCCAGUGCCACCAACGAGCUUAGUGUUGGCACAGCCUGGCACCUUGAGAUCAUUUAGUACCCGUAGGACAUUUUACAGAAACCUAAAGCCUUGCUUAGGACUCACUGAAGGGGUGUACAGAAAGCCAAGAGUCUUAGCAGUAAACUCUCCUCACUACACAUUUCCUUAAAACCUUAGUGCAGAAGCCCAGUGUACCAGACAGUGUAGGUGCAGAGGCAGAGGGGACCAGCCCUUCACCCCAGCAUGGACUGGAAUUGCUGUUUUGUGCUCAUGGCUACAUGAGUCAAGUUCCAGGGGUCUGGAAAGCUCUCCAUGAGAAGAGAAUGUGUGGACACAGUAGCUCAUGCCUAUAACCCCACAUUUGGGAGCACCCUAGUUUCAUUUCUGCCACUGUGAUAAAAACCAGACAGAAGCAAGUUAGAGGGGGAAGGGUUUGUGUGGGUCUUGAUUCCAGGGCACAGUCUAUUAUGGCAGAAGAGUCAAGGCGGCAGGAACUGUAAGCGCUAGUACCAGCCAGGGAGGGAGGGAGGGAGGGAGGGAGGGAGGGAGAGAGAGAGAGAGAGAGAAUAUGAGUGAGUGAGAGUGGGUGUCUAUGUGCUUCCGUGCAGGGAGAGUCUUCCUGCCUCAAUUAACCCAAGAAAUUUCCCAUGGGCCAUCUGCCAACCCAACCCAAAUAAUUCCUCACUGAGACUCUAUAUCCAGGAUAUUCUAGAGCAUGUAUCGAGUUGACUAAACAGAGAGGCUGAGGCAGGAGGAUUGUGUGAAUGUGAGGACAUAGUAAGUUCCAGACUAUCUUGGCUGUAGUGUGGGGUCUUGACAAGAAAGAAAGUGAAUGGGGACAUUCCUAAAGGGGCAGCUUUUCUGUGGUGUGUGCGCCCCACACUUCAGUUGUUUAACAAAGAAGAAAAUCAUGUCCCUUCAAACACUUCUCGGUAGUUAUCUGCUCCAAGAGUUGAUUAAACUCCGGGUUUUUUUUUCCCAUAUUCUACAGGAAAGGAGAGAGUAGAGUGUGGAGAGCUGUGAGACACGUCUUUCAGAUAGCUCAAGGACGUUCUGCCGUUUCUCCAUUCAUGGAGACGGAAGAGCAGCAUCCCACCGUGGGCUGAAGGGAAAAGCUACCCCACACGUAUGGAGUCAGCUUUCAUCCAAGAUAGAUCCAAGCCACUCAGACAGAGGCGAAUUAGUGUUCUUAAAUACAGCUCAUAAUGACUUAAAAAAAACUAUCUUUACUCUACCUUAGUAUAAUCCUAGUUCUGCUUCUGUUCAUCAGAUAAACAAGUGUCUUAAGGAGGAAUAUGUAGGGGUUGGGGAUUUAGCUCAGCAGUAGAGUGCUUGCCUAGCGAGCACAAGGCCCUGGGUUCGGUCCCCAGCUCCGAAAAAAGAAAAAAAAAAAAAAAAAAAAAGGAGGAAUAUGUAGACGUGUGCACCUUUCAAUCCCAGACCGUGGGGGACAGAGGCAGGCAGAUCUCUGUGAGUUCGAGGCCACCAGGGACCACAUAGUGAGACUGUGCUCAAGGGAAAAAGUAAAAUUAAAUGUAUACAUUUAGUAACAUAUGUUUAUUUAAUGAUUAUAUUUGUUUAAUAUAAUAAUAAAACAAAAAAAUGAAAGAAUGACUUUAUUUAGGGAUGGGGACUCAGGGAUUACAAGGCCCUGGGUUCAGUCUUCAGUACCACACCUCAAAAAAUUUCUUUAAAAAGCAGGUUAGAGACAGAGAUGGCUCAGCAGGUAAUAGCUGUUAAAAAACAAAACAAACAAAAAAAAAAAAAAAAAAAAAAAAAAAAAACAACCAAAAA
This is a non-coding RNA of Rattus norvegicus (Norway rat), 6398 nucleotides long. The record is from RefSeq and is a predicted model, not a curated record. Lineage: Eukaryota; Metazoa; Chordata; Mammalia; Rodentia; Muridae.